This 440-nucleotide ribosomal RNA is filed under the name uncultured bacterium. RNAcentral describes it as "partial 16S ribosomal RNA". It matches the Rfam family "Bacterial small subunit ribosomal RNA", at positions 338 to 795 of the family's 1533-position model. The record is from RNAcentral.
CCUACGGGUGGCUGCAGUGGGGGAUAUUGCACAAUGGGGGGAACCCUGAUGCAGCGACGCCGCGUGGGUGAAGAAGCGCCUCGGCGCGUAAAGCCCUGUCAGCAGGGAAGAAAAUGACGGUACCUGAAGAAGAAGCCCCGGCUAACUACGUGCCAGCAGCCGCGGUAAUACGUAGGGGGCAAGCGUUAUCCGGAUUUACUGGGUGUAAAGGGAGCGUAGACGGCAGAGCAAGUCUGAAGUGAAAGCCCGCGGCCCAACUGCGGGACUGCUUUGGAAACUGCCCGGCUAGAGUGCUGGAGAGGUAAGCGGAAUUCCUAGUGUAGCGGUGAAAUGCGUAGAUAUUAGGAGGAACACCAGUGGCGAAGGCGGCUUACUGGACAGUAACUGACGUUGAGGCUCGAAAGCGUGGGGAGCAAACAGGAUUAGAUACCCCAGUAGUC